This is a non-coding RNA of Paramuricea clavata, 289 nucleotides long. The record is from the annotation of a GenBank genome assembly. Lineage: Eukaryota; Metazoa; Cnidaria; Anthozoa; Malacalcyonacea; Plexauridae.
CGGUCUUCAUUUUCUCAGCGACUGGGUUGUGAAUACUUUCGAGAUGUUUCUUGAGGGUCGCAUUUAGGAUAAACGGUGAACACGAAGCACCAAAUAGGAUGGACUUAAAACGAUAGACGUCAAAUGGACUUUCCGGGUCCUUUGGGUCCGAUAUCCAGAAAAAUCGUGUGGCAUCCCGAUCUUCCUCGUCCAGAAUUAUGUGGAGAAAUGCCUUCUCGAUAUCAGCAGUCAAGGCAUACCGAUAGCAGCGGAAUCGAAUGAGGAUCGCGGUGAGGUCGUUUAAGAGUGG